RNAcentral lists this unclassified non-coding RNA (233 nucleotides) under fungal sp. RNAcentral describes it as "partial internal transcribed spacer region". The stretch from base 1 to 46 matches the Rfam family "Eukaryotic small subunit ribosomal RNA", at positions 1786 to 1831 of the family's 1831-position model. The record is from RNAcentral. Lineage: Eukaryota; Fungi.
AAGUCGUAACAAGGUUUCCGUAGGUGAACCUGCGGAAGGAUCAUUACAAAUCCAACGUCUCCAUCUCGAGACACUGUUGAAACAACAACGUGACGUGACGGGGAGGGUGAGGCUUGCUUGUCUCACGACGAACCUGCCGCCCCACCUCUGAUCGUUUACAACCCAGAAAUCGUUGAUCAUUUGUAUGCUUCUUAACAAAGAAACAACUUAUACCAAUGGAUCUCUAGGCUCUU